RNAcentral lists this ribosomal RNA (689 nucleotides) under Serratia marcescens. Its description in RNAcentral is "partial 23S ribosomal RNA". It matches the Rfam family "Bacterial large subunit ribosomal RNA", at positions 2242 to 2925 of the family's 2925-position model. RNAcentral also lists the same sequence under 21 other names. Lineage: Bacteria; Pseudomonadati; Pseudomonadota; Gammaproteobacteria; Enterobacterales; Yersiniaceae. The record is from RNAcentral.
GGGGUGAGGACAGUGUCUGGUGGGUAGUUUGACUGGGGCGGUCUCCUCCCAAAGAGUAACGGAGGAGCACGAAGGUUAGCUAAUCACGGUCGGACAUCGUGAGGUUAGUGCAAAGGCAUAAGCUAGCUUGACUGCGAGAGUGACGGCUCGAGCAGGUACGAAAGUAGGUCUUAGUGAUCCGGUGGUUCUGAAUGGAAGGGCCAUCGCUCAACGGAUAAAAGGUACUCCGGGGAUAACAGGCUGAUACCGCCCAAGAGUUCAUAUCGACGGCGGUGUUUGGCACCUCGAUGUCGGCUCAUCACAUCCUGGGGCUGAAGUAGGUCCCAAGGGUAUGGCUGUUCGCCAUUUAAAGUGGUACGCGAGCUGGGUUUAGAACGUCGUGAGACAGUUCGGUCCCUAUCUGCCGUGGGCGUUGGAAGAUUGAGAGGGGUUGCUCCUAGUACGAGAGGACCGGAGUGAACGCACCACUGGUGUUCGGGUUGUCAUGCCAAUGGCAUUGCCCGGUAGCUAAGUGCGGAAAAGAUAAGCGCUGAAAGCAUCUAAGCGCGAAACUUGCCUCAAGAUGAGUCUUCCCUGGGCCUUUAAGGCCCCUGAAGGAACGUUUAAGACUAAGACGUUGAUAGGCUGGGUGUGUAAGUGCAGCGAUGCAUUGAGCUAACCAGUACUAAUGAUCCGUGAGGCUUAACCUU